Molecule: unclassified non-coding RNA, 267 nt
Filed under: uncultured Papiliotrema
Lineage: Eukaryota; Fungi; Basidiomycota; Tremellomycetes; Tremellales; Tremellaceae
Description: sequence contains ITS2
Rfam family: 5.8S ribosomal RNA (bases 1-52)
Source: RNAcentral
AACGCACCUUGCGCCUUUUGGUAUUCCGAAAGGCAUGCCUGUUUGAGUGUCAUGAAAUCUCAAUCCCUCUGGUUUUCUAACUGGCUGGAUUGGACUUGGGCGUCUUGCCAGCAAUGGCUCGCCUCAAAUGACUUAGUGGAACAUCCCACAUCAGUGUUAGACGUAAUAAGUUUCGUCUCUCCUUGUGGCGGUGACUGCUUAGAACCUGCCAUCGCGCACUCUUUUGACUUUGACCUCAAAUCAGGUAGGGCUACCCGCUGAACUUAA